CCAUAGUACUUCUACCAGCAGUAUCUCUGCCUCAAAAAAGUAUACAAUAAUCUACAACCAUUUGUUACUUUGUAUUAAAAGUUACACAUGACAGAAGAAAGAUAGAUAUUUACAAAAUUAUACACAAACCUGUAAGUACAUACAUAAGCUAUCUUAUGACCACAAUUGAAUAAACAAAUUAAAAGGCUGUUGCCUUGAAAAAAAAAUAAAAUUGAAGAAUCAGUUGUGGAAAUUUUCUAAAACCUGAUCAAUUUUCUUAAAAUUAAGUUUUGUUUAUGUUGUACAUGAUCUUACUAUGACAUUCUUUUGCUUUUGAAUAGAAGCUAUGUUCUAAUACCAAUAAAACAUGGGCUACACAUGAUUGACGUCAAAAAUGCAAUUGAAAUUGGAACUUUAUCUGUGAAUUUAACAAUGCCAAGAAUCCAAAAAUUGUUAUCUUUGCAUAUCAUGAUUGAUUUAAAAUACAAUAUAACUGUAAUGGAAUUCAAAUCAUUGGUCAAAUAGAAUAAGAAAAAUUACAUUCACAUGGCCCUCCUUAUAAAUAUAUCUUUGCCAAAUUACACAAACUAAAUGGUCUUAUUACAUUGGUUGAAUUGCAUUACAUAGAUUUCCUAGUGAAAUAAAAACCAAUAAUUUCACAUGUGAAAUAAAUGUGGUUAUUUCACUUCUCUGACAUUAUACAACAAUAGGUGUUGUCAAGACAUGGAUGAAGUUUGAUAAAAACAAAUUGAGAAUGCAUAGAAAAAAGAUAUUGUUUCUUUAAAUACAUUUUCCUUAAAUUUCUUACAAUAUUUAUUUUACAAAUGUAAUAAAAAGAAUAACUGAAUUAGAGAAUUCAAAUAUCGAAAAAUAUUCAACUUGUGACCCAACAACACUGAAAAUUAACUUAUUCACUACUUGCAAUUUGAAUUAAUGUGUUGUUCAGUCACUCUUUGAAUAUUUUUGAUAUUUGAAUUCUUCAAUUAGCUAGUCUAUAAAUAUUGAAACAUUCAGAAGAAUAAACUGUUGACAUAGAGAUGUGUCUCGUCUAUUGGCAUAAAAUUCAAAAAAAGACAGUCUGAUAGACAGCAACAUUGCUUAUUAUUUUAUUGUCACUUGAACAUGAACUAGCAUGCAGGGCCUCAAUAUUGUAGACAAACUGAGAUGUCAAGACAACAAUCAUUUUUAAAGAAAAUAUAUUUGUCUAUUUUUAGUAGUUUCUUAAGCAGAAAACUUAACAAUUGUUGAUGCUGUUGUCAUUGCUGUGGCCAGAAAACCAAAUCAUAUGUCUCACUUUCAGAGAAAAAAAGAUGAAGACCCUACAAUUUUUUUUAAUAAUUCAGAUUUAUUUGUAGUAAAAAAUCAUUUUAUAUUGUUGAAAGAAGCAGGAUUUAAUUGGGUAAGAAGGAUUUGCAAUUAGAAGUCAUUAAAAAACAAAUAAAAUUUUAAACUGUUCCAUGUCACAAAUCAUUUUUAAUCCUUUUACAAUAUUAGAAAUAAGUACACAAUUUUAAAUAGUUUAGAUUGUAUAACUGCUGACACAGGUUUGUUUAAUACAAAAAUCCUGGUAUGAAUAGAAAUUACCUGACUUUGAAACCUUUAUGAAAAUGAUAGAAAUGGAA
This 1601-nucleotide long non-coding RNA is filed under the name Mytilus galloprovincialis (Mediterranean mussel). The record is from RNAcentral. Lineage: Eukaryota; Metazoa; Mollusca; Bivalvia; Mytilida; Mytilidae.